GCAGCCGUGGCCUACUGGUUAGUGCUUCGGACUUGUAAGCGCAGGGUUGCCGGUUCGAACCCGACUGGUAGGC
RNAcentral lists this transfer RNA (73 nucleotides) under Alosa alosa (allis shad). RNAcentral describes it as "tRNA-OTHER". The record is from RNAcentral. Lineage: Eukaryota; Metazoa; Chordata; Actinopteri; Clupeiformes; Clupeidae.